GCAAGUCGAACGCAGUAGCAAUACUGAGUGGCAGACGGGUGAGUAACAUGUGGGAAUCUGCCUUGUGGUUCAGGACAACAUUGGGAAACCGAUGCUAAUACUGGAUAAGCCCUUACGGGGAAAGUUUUAAUGCCAUAAGAUGAGCCCGCAUUUGAUUAGUUAGUUGGUGAGGUAAUGGCUCACCAAGACAAUGAUCAAUAGCUGAUCUGAGAGGAUGAUCAGCCACACUGGGACUGAGACACGGCCCAGACUCCUACGGGAGGCAGCAGUGGGGAAUCUUGCACAAUGGAGGAAACUCUGAUGCAGCGAUGCCGCGUGAGUGAAGAAAGGCUUUGGGUUGUAAAGCUCUUUUGUAGGGGAAGAAAAUGACUGUACCCUAAGAA
This 383-nucleotide ribosomal RNA is filed under the name uncultured bacterium. RNAcentral's name for it is "bacterial SSU rRNA". It matches the Rfam family "Bacterial small subunit ribosomal RNA", at positions 57 to 486 of the family's 1533-position model. The record is from RNAcentral.